UACGUAGGGUGCAAGCGUUGUCCGGAAUUAUUGGGCGUAAAGAGCUCGUAGGCGGUCUGUCGCGUCGGCUGUGAAAACUUGGGGCUCAACCCCAAGCCUGCAGUCGAUACGGGCAGACUAGAGUGCGGUAGGGGAGACUGGAAUUCCUGGUGUAGCGGUGAAAUGCGCAGAUAUCAGGAGGAACACCGGUGGCGAAGGCGGGUCUCUGGGCCGUAACUGACGCUGAGGAGCGAAAGCGUGGGGAGCGAACAGG
RNAcentral lists this ribosomal RNA (253 nucleotides) under uncultured bacterium. RNAcentral's name for it is "partial 16S ribosomal RNA". It matches the Rfam family "Bacterial small subunit ribosomal RNA", at positions 524 to 776 of the family's 1533-position model. The record is from RNAcentral.